Molecule: small RNA, 1188 nt
Filed under: Vigna angularis var. angularis
Lineage: Eukaryota; Viridiplantae; Streptophyta; Magnoliopsida; Fabales; Fabaceae
Description: Non-protein coding transcript
Source: RNAcentral
UUUUCUUCGUACAGAAAGUAAAUAGAAUAGGUAAGAUAAAUCAAAUGAAUCGUGACCGCUAUACCAUGAUUUAUGAUUAACCAUCUUUUCUAUACACAACGAUGGAAGAAGAAGGAAACAAAAUACGUGUUCAUGAACACCAAGAACAGUGUUUGUUUAGAGAAUGAAAGAAAUGAAUAAAAAGAAACCUAAAAAUCUGAAUAAGCAAAGAAUCAUUUGGCAGUAAGCACAGGAUUCAACUGAAGAGGCCUAGGUGCUUCCAUGGUUCUUCUCUUCCACAGAUUAAUUUCUUUCCGAGGCUGCACACUCAGCAUAGGAGCACCACCGGCCGUCAGAGGAGCAGAGAAAGGGAUUACCACCUCAUCCUCUGCAUCGCUCUCCACUCUAUCAUCGUUGUCCGAAUAGCAAUCCCUUUCAUCAGGCGCAAUCUGGGCCUUCCAAUCGAAAUUCGAAAAAGUCUCACGCCCACUUGCAAAUCGCCUCAUGUGACCCACCGGCGGCGCUCUGUCGUCGCCCGCAUCAGAUUUUUUCCUCGCCGCAGGUUUCGGUUUCCCCGUGUUGAACAACAUCCUCUGAAACUUCGAAGCCCGUUUCUUUUCCUCCGUGGCGUCUCUGGGAGUGGUGGAAUCCGCGGUUUCUGCAGCGCGUGUGGGCAUCGACAUGGUCUUCGGCCCUCCCUUUUUAAUGUGCUUUUUCUUGUGCUUGAUCUGUCCCAUGCAGGAGAUUUUGGGCGAUGUGGGCUCUUGAGUUUCGACGCCGCCAUCCCUGGGUUUUCUUCUAGCCUCGUCGGGAAUCAUGGGGCCAGAGAAGAAGCCUUUUCCGCCAUGGCUCUUGAACUUGUGAUCCCGGCCAGGGCUGAAGGGAAGGUUUUGGAAUGUGACUGCCGCUGCAGCUUUUGGCAGUAUCUUCAAGAUCCUGCUCUUCAGCUUUGACUGUUUAUUUUCUUUCUCCAUGGAUUCAAAUCUGCGAGACCGUUUUUGGGUGACAACAACAUAAACACGCAUUUAACUCACAAUAUGUCACUUUUAAUGUCUCCUUCCUAACAUAUGCAAAUAACGCAGACUGCUUUUUUCUUCUUCUUCAUAUCAGACAAACGUUCGACUUUCGAGUCAUUUGAAUUUCAGCUCUUUAAUCCUUCAAAUACUUUCAGAAAAAAGGUAUCUCCUUCUGUAAGUUACUCAUAUUGAG